GGACUGCUCUUCUGAAAGGAGUCUGGCAGAACAAGAUCAGAAGCGGACAAAAGAGACACUUGAGGAAGGAAAGGCUGAAACAGACAGGUCCCAGCUGGUCCCUCAAGGCCUUAAGUCACUCGUGCAGUCAGGAAGAAAUGCUCAAGGCCUCUGUGCUGCUGCAUCACCUCCUGCAGGGCUCAGUGCCCAGCUGCGUGGUGCCUUCCUUCUGACAUGGCCUUCAGGUUUGUUGCGUCAGCAUUCCUUCCCAGCAGCAUGCUUUGCU
This 265-nucleotide long non-coding RNA is filed under the name Chrysolophus pictus (golden pheasant). RNAcentral describes it as "lncRNA (ENSCPIG00010010542.1)". The record is from RNAcentral. Lineage: Eukaryota; Metazoa; Chordata; Aves; Galliformes; Phasianidae.